UACAGGGGGCCCGAGCGUUAAUCGGAAUCACUGGGCUUAAAGGGUGCGUAGGCGGAUCAGGAAGUGUUUCGUGAAAACCCCCGGCUCAACCGGGGAACUGCGGGGCAAACUCCUGAUCUUGAGGGAAGUAUGGGCGGACAGAACUAUCGGUGGAGCGGUGAAAUGCGUAGAUAUCGAUAGGAAUGCCGAUGGCGAAGGCGGUCCGCUGGGCUUCUCCUGACGCUCAGGCACGAAAGCGUGGGGAGCAAACAGG
RNAcentral lists this ribosomal RNA (253 nucleotides) under uncultured bacterium. Its description in RNAcentral is "partial 16S ribosomal RNA". It matches the Rfam family "Bacterial small subunit ribosomal RNA", at positions 524 to 776 of the family's 1533-position model. RNAcentral also lists the same sequence under 1 other name. The record is from RNAcentral.